Molecule: transfer RNA, 65 nt
Filed under: Caenis robusta
Lineage: Eukaryota; Metazoa; Arthropoda; Insecta; Ephemeroptera; Caenidae
Description: tRNA-Tyr
Rfam family: tRNA
About the family: Transfer RNA (tRNA) molecules are approximately 80 nucleotides in length. Their secondary structure includes four short double-helical elements and three loops (D, anti-codon, and T loops).
Source: RNAcentral
GAUAAUAUGGCUGAAAUUAGGUGAUAGAUUGUAAAUCUAUUUAUGAGAUAAAAUCUCUAUUAUCA